Molecule: ribosomal RNA, 187 nt
Filed under: uncultured bacterium
Lineage: Bacteria
Description: partial 16S ribosomal RNA
Rfam family: Bacterial small subunit ribosomal RNA
Source: RNAcentral
CCUACGGGAGGCAGCAGUGGGGAAUAUUGGACAAUGGGCGCAAGCCUGAUCCAGCCACGCCGCGUGAGUGAUGAAGGCCUCGGUCGUAAGACUCUGUGGGGAGGGACGAACGGCGCCAUGAAGAGUGGCGAUUGACGGUACCUCCUUAGCAAGCACCGGCUAACUUCGUGCCAGCAGCCGCGGUAAU